AAAGACAGAGCUUUGACUUCAACCAUGCUGUUGAUGAAUGGAUUUCAAUGUGCUCCAGUUUUGUUCUUCGCAUCAGGAAGACUCUGUUUUACACAGAAAUAGCCAGAUGUCAUCUUGCUGGAUGUGGAAUAUAACUGCUGCAUUUCAUUCAGGGGACUGGAAUGAAUGAAUCCGAAACGCCAAGGAUCAUUACAAAAAUUCAAAAAGGAAAACUUGAAGCCCUACAUAUACAUUUCAGGUGUGACUGGUCAGGUGUUUUUCUGUAUUAGAGCUGGGCCUUUAAGAGGGAUCUUUUCUUGUCUCUGUCUGGGUAGAUGAAAGUUCACUUUCACCUCACAGCGCUGUAAGUAACCUAAGAACAUUUUGGUUAUAACACUGAUGGAAUCAAGCUGGUU
This 395-nucleotide long non-coding RNA is filed under the name Chelonoidis abingdonii (Abingdon island giant tortoise). Its description in RNAcentral is "lncRNA (ENSCABG00000000828.1)". Lineage: Eukaryota; Metazoa; Chordata; Testudines; Testudinidae. The record is from RNAcentral.